This 373-nucleotide ribosomal RNA is filed under the name uncultured organism. RNAcentral's name for it is "bacterial SSU rRNA". It matches the Rfam family "Bacterial small subunit ribosomal RNA", at positions 527 to 896 of the family's 1533-position model. The record is from RNAcentral.
GGGGGGAGCAAGCGUUGUUCGGAUUUACUGGGCGUAAAGGGCGGGUAGGCGGCCACCGCAAGUCAGUUGUGAAAUCUCCGGGCUUAACCCGGAAAGGUCAACUGAUACUGCGGGGCUAGAGUGCAGAAGGGGCAACUGGAAUUCUCGGUGUAGCGGUGAAAUGCGUAGAUAUCGAGAGGAACACCUGCGGCGAAGGCGGGUUGCUGGGCUGACACUGACGCUGAACUGCGAAAGCUAGGGGAGCGAACGGGAUUAGAUACCCCGGUAGUCCUAGCCUUAAACGAUGAAUGCUGGGUGUCUGGGGUUUUAUAGUCCCCGGGUGCCGUCGCUAACGCUUUAAGCAUUCCGCCUGGGGAGUACGGUCGCAAGGCUG